CCUAAUACAUGCAGUCGAACGGUGUCUUCGGACAUAGUGGCGCACGGGUGCGUAACACGUAUGCAACCUACCUUACAUUGGGGGAUAGCCUUUCGAAAGGGAGAUUAAUACCGCAUAAGACAGUAGCUGGGCAUCCAGUAGCUGUUAAAGAUUUAUCGAUGUAAGAUGGGCAUGCGACCAAUUAGUUAGUUGGCGAGGUAAUGGCUCACCAAGACUAUGAUUGGUAGGGGAACUGAGAGGUCAAUCCCCCACACUGGCACUGAGAUACGGGCCAGACUCCUACGGGAGGCAGCAGUAGGGAAUAUUGGGCAAUGGACGCAAGUCUGACCCAGCCAUGCCGCGUGCAGGAUGAAGGCGUUAUGCGUCGUAAACUGCUUUUAUACAGGAAGAAACGACUCUUGCGAGAGGCAUUGACGGUACUGUAUGAAUAAGCACCGGCUAACUCCGUGCCAGCAGCCGCGGUAAUACGGAGGGUGCAAGCGUUGUCCGGAUUUAUUGGGUUUAAAGGGUGCGCAGGUGGUUUAUUAAGUCAGUGGUGAAAGACGGUCGCUCAACGAUUGCAGUGCCAUUGAAACUAGUAGACUUGAGUAAAGUAGAGGUGGGCGGAAUUGAUAGUGUAGCGGUGAAAUGCAUAGAUAUUAUCAAGAACUCCAAUUGCGUAGGCAGCUCACUUGGCUUUUACUGACACUCAUGCACGAAAGUGUGGGUAUCAAACAGGAUUAGAUACCCUGGUAGUCCACACUGUAAACGAUGAUAACUAGGUGUCGGCCGAAUCUGGUCGGUGCCACAGCGAAAGCGUUAAGUUAUCCACCUGGGGAGUACGCCGGCAACGGUGAAAC
This 839-nucleotide ribosomal RNA is filed under the name uncultured Flexibacteraceae bacterium. RNAcentral's name for it is "bacterial SSU rRNA". It matches the Rfam family "Bacterial small subunit ribosomal RNA", at positions 47 to 900 of the family's 1533-position model. Lineage: Bacteria; Pseudomonadati; Bacteroidota; Cytophagia; Cytophagales; Cytophagaceae. The record is from RNAcentral.